UACAGAGGGGGCAAGCGUUGUUCGGAAUUACUGGGCGUAAAGGGCGCGUAGGCGGCCUGCUAAGUCGAACGUGAAAUCCCUGGGCUCAACCCAGGAACUGCGUCCGAUACUGGUUGGCUUGAAUCCGGGAGAGGGACGUGGAAUUCCAGGUGUAGCGGUGAAAUGCGUAGAUAUCUGGAGGAACACCGGUGGCGAAGGCGGCUCACUGGUCCGGUUCUGACGCUGAGGCGCGAAAGCGUGGGGAGCAAACAGG
RNAcentral lists this ribosomal RNA (253 nucleotides) under uncultured bacterium. RNAcentral describes it as "partial 16S ribosomal RNA". It matches the Rfam family "Bacterial small subunit ribosomal RNA", at positions 524 to 776 of the family's 1533-position model. The record is from RNAcentral.